Molecule: ribosomal RNA, 486 nt
Filed under: uncultured bacterium
Lineage: Bacteria
Description: bacterial SSU rRNA
Rfam family: Bacterial small subunit ribosomal RNA
Source: RNAcentral
GAUGAACGCUAGCGGCAGGCAUAAUACAUGCAAGUUGAACGGGAUUCAGAUAGCAAUAUUUGAUGAGAGUGGCGCACGGGUGCGUAACACGUAUGCAACUUACCUUAAACUGGGAGAUAGCCCGUGGAAACAUGGAUUAAUAUCCCAUAGUAUAAAGAACAGGCAUUUGUUUUUAUUAAAGCUCCGGCGGUUUAAGAUGGGCAUGCGCGUCAUUAGCUAGAUGGAGAGGUAACGGCUCACCAUGGCAACGAUGACUAGGGGGUCUGAGAGGAUGUCCCCCCACACUGGUACUGAGACACGGACCAGACUCCUACGGGAGGCAGCAGUAGGGAAUAUUGGGCAAUGGACGCAAGUCUGACCCAGCCAUGCCGCGUGCAGGAAGACGGCCCUCUGGGUUGUAAACUGCUUUUAUCAGGGAAGAAACCCUUCUACGUGUAGGAGGCUGACGGUACCUGAGGAAUAAGGAUCGGCUAACUCCGCGCCAGC